RNAcentral lists this long non-coding RNA (640 nucleotides) under Malus domestica (apple). RNAcentral's name for it is "long non-coding RNA (MDOM_LNC018841)". The record is from RNAcentral. Lineage: Eukaryota; Viridiplantae; Streptophyta; Magnoliopsida; Rosales; Rosaceae.
UCUUUUUCGCUUUUAUGAUUUCUUUAGACUUUCUAAAUUAAUCACAACACUUAAUUAAUCCAAUUAAUUAUUUCCAUCAUCCAUUAAUUACUCACUACAAGAGUGUAUCGGUGUACAAUCAUUUUAGGUUCUAAUUAGCAAGGCAGUGAGGUGAUUGACAUCAAUUCAAUUGAUUAUAUUUAAUCCAAUCACUUAGUGAAUUAAAACUUUAUUUUAAUUCACCUUUCUUCUUUGAUGACUACAUUUAAUCAUCUAGAAGAACUCACAAGCUAUGAGUGACAUCUAACCAUAUGUCAUAGCUACCCAAGCUAAUGUAGAAGUUGUUCGGAGAACUUAUUCAGUUGGAAUUACAAUGUAAUUCGAUCCUUCUCUAAAACAAUACUCUCAAUCACAUUACUAGGGUAUGGAUAUAUUAUGUCAAACCCCUAAUGUGAUUAUUCCUUCUUAUAUGAUUCAAGUGAGUCGUAUAGGAACGCUUUCCUUUAGUACGCUCGAUACUUCGGCCGAAGAUUCCCGAAUCAUAUCUUAGAGUAUUCUUCCUCUCUAAUCGAGGAUUAGAGAUUCCUUGUUGCGCAUUCACUUGCCUUCAUGAUUAAGUGGCUUAACCCCAAUUAUGCCGUGGACAUCCGCGAAUGGGGUG